RNAcentral lists this ribosomal RNA (315 nucleotides) under uncultured Rubrobacteria bacterium. Its description in RNAcentral is "bacterial SSU rRNA". It matches the Rfam family "Bacterial small subunit ribosomal RNA", at positions 54 to 354 of the family's 1533-position model. The record is from RNAcentral. Lineage: Bacteria; Bacillati; Actinomycetota; Rubrobacteria.
GCUUACCAUGCAGUGGAGCGACGACCUGGCUUCGGCCUGGGGCAGAGCCGCGAACGCGUGAGUAACACGUGGGUAACCUGCCUCGAUGACCGGGACAACUCGGGGAAACCCGGGCUAAUACCGGAUGUGCUGUUUUCACUUAAGUGAGAAUUGGAAAGGAAGCUUCGGCCUCCGCAUCGAGAUGGGCCCGCGGCCCAUUAGCUUGUUGGUGAGGUAACGGCUCACCAAGGCCGCGAUGGGUAGCUGGUCUGAGAGGACGAUCAGCCACACUGGGACUGAGACACGGCCCAGACUCCUACGGGAGGCAGCAGUGGG